GAGACACCCUUCUGGGGCAAGACUUGCUUCAGUGGGGCUUUGGUGCUCACUGAGUCUGCCCCCUGAGUGUGUCACU
This is a non-coding RNA of Myotis lucifugus (little brown bat), 76 nucleotides long. NCBI's taxonomy places the organism in Eukaryota, Metazoa, Chordata, Mammalia, Chiroptera, Vespertilionidae. The record is from Rfam.